RNAcentral lists this ribosomal RNA (2779 nucleotides) under Escherichia coli. Its description in RNAcentral is "bacterial LSU rRNA". It matches the Rfam family "Bacterial large subunit ribosomal RNA". Lineage: Bacteria; Pseudomonadati; Pseudomonadota; Gammaproteobacteria; Enterobacterales; Enterobacteriaceae. The record is from RNAcentral.
CACACUAUCAUUAACUGAAUCCAUAGGUUAAUGAGGCGAACCGGGGGAACUGAAACAUCUAAGUACCCCGAGGAAAAGAAAUCAACCGAGAUUCCCCCAGUAGCGGCGAGCGAACGGGGAGCAGCCCAGAGCCUGAAUCAGUGUGUGUGUUAGUGGAAGCGUCUGGAAAGGCGCGCGAUACAGGGUGACAGCCCCGUACACAAAAAUGCACAUGCUGUGAGCUCGAUGAGUAGGGCGGGACACGUGGUAUCCUGUCUGAAUAUGGGGGGACCAUCCUCCAAGGCUAAAUACUCCUGACUGACCGAUAGUGAACCAGUACCGUGAGGGAAAGGCGAAAAGAACCCCGGCGAGGGGAGUGAAAAAGAACCUGAAACCGUGUACGUACAAGCAGUGGGAGCACGCUUAGGCGUGUGACUGCGUACCUUUUGUAUAAUGGGUCAGCGACUUAUAUUCUGUAGCAAGGUUAACCGAAUAGGGGAGCCGAAGGGAAACCGAGUCUUAACUGGGCGUUAAGUUGCAGGGUAUAGACCCGAAACCCGGUGAUCUAGCCAUGGGCAGGUUGAAGGUUGGGUAACACUAACUGGAGGACCGAACCGACUAAUGUUGAAAAAUUAGCGGAUGACUUGUGGCUGGGGGUGAAAGGCCAAUCAAACCGGGAGAUAGCUGGUUCUCCCCGAAAGCUAUUUAGGUAGCGCCUCGUGAAUUCAUCUCCGGGGGUAGAGCACUGUUUCGGCAAGGGGGUCAUCCCGACUUACCAACCCGAUGCAAACUGCGAAUACCGGAGAAUGUUAUCACGGGAGACACACGGCGGGUGCUAACGUCCGUCGUGAAGAGGGAAACAACCCAGACCGCCAGCUAAGGUCCCAAAGUCAUGGUUAAGUGGGAAACGAUGUGGGAAGGCCCAGACAGCCAGGAUGUUGGCUUAGAAGCAGCCAUCAUUUAAAGAAAGCGUAAUAGCUCACUGGUCGAGUCGGCCUGCGCGGAAGAUGUAACGGGGCUAAACCAUGCACCGAAGCUGCGGCAGCGACACUAUGUGUUGUUGGGUAGGGGAGCGUUCUGUAAGCCUGUGAAGGUGUACUGUGAGGUAUGCUGGAGGUAUCAGAAGUGCGAAUGCUGACAUAAGUAACGAUAAAGCGGGUGAAAAGCCCGCUCGCCGGAAGACCAAGGGUUCCUGUCCAACGUUAAUCGGGGCAGGGUGAGUCGACCCCUAAGGCGAGGCCGAAAGGCGUAGUCGAUGGGAAACAGGUUAAUAUUCCUGUACUUGGUGUUACUGCGAAGGGGGGACGGAGAAGGCUAUGUUGGCCGGGCGACGGUUGUCCCGGUUUAAGCGUGUAGGCUGGUUUUCCAGGCAAAUCCGGAAAAUCAAGGCUGAGGCGUGAUGACGAGGCACUACGGUGCUGAAGCAACAAAUGCCCUGCUUCCAGGAAAAGCCUCUAAGCAUCAGGUAACAUCAAAUCGUACCCCAAACCGACACAGGUGGUCAGGUAGAGAAUACCAAGGCGCUUGAGAGAACUCGGGUGAAGGAACUAGGCAAAAUGGUGCCGUAACUUCGGGAGAAGGCACGCUGAUAUGUAGGUGAAGUCCCUCGCGGAUGGAGCUGAAAUCAGUCGAAGAUACCAGCUGGCUGCAACUGUUUAUUAAAAACACAGCACUGUGCAAACACGAAAGUGGACGUAUACGGUGUGACGCCUGCCCGGUGCCGGAAGGUUAAUUGAUGGGGUCAGCGCAAGCGAAGCUCUUGAUCGAAGCCCCGGUAAACGGCGGCCGUAACUAUAACGGUCCUAAGGUAGCGAAAUUCCUUGUCGGGUAAGUUCCGACCUGCACGAAUGGCGUAAUGAUGGCCAGGCUGUCUCCACCCGAGACUCAGUGAAAUUGAACUCGCUGUGAAGAUGCAGUGUACCCGCGGCAAGACGGAAAGACCCCGUGAACCUUUACUAUAGCUUGACACUGAACAUUGAGCCUUGAUGUGUAGGAUAGGUGGGAGGCUUUGAAGUGUGGACGCCAGUCUGCAUGGAGCCGACCUUGAAAUACCACCCUUUAAUGUUUGAUGUUCUAACGUUGACCCGUGAUCCGGGUUGCGGACAGUGUCUGGUGGGUAGUUUGACUGGGGCGGUCUCCUCCUAAAGAGUAACGGAGGAGCACGAAGGUUGGCUAAUCCUGGUCGGACAUCAGGAGGUUAGUGCAAUGGCAUAAGCCAGCUUGACUGCGAGCGUGACGGCGCGAGCAGGUGCGAAAGCAGGUCAUAGUGAUCCGGUGGUUCUGAAUGGAAGGGCCAUCGCUCAACGGAUAAAAGGUACUCCGGGGAUAACAGGCUGAUACCGCCCAAGAGUUCAUAUCGACGGCGGUGUUUGGCACCUCGAUGUCGGCUCAUCACAUCCUGGGGCUGAAGUAGGUCCCAAGGGUAUGGCUGUUCGCCAUUUAAAGUGGUACGCGAGCUGGGUUUAGAACGUCGUGAGACAGUUCGGUCCCUAUCUGCCGUGGGCGCUGGAGAACUGAGGGGGGCUGCUCCUAGUACGAGAGGACCGGAGUGGACGCAUCACUGGUGUUCGGGUUGUCAUGCCAAUGGCACUGCCCGGUAGCUAAAUGCGGAAGAGAUAAGUGCUGAAAGCAUCUAAGCACGAAACUUGCCCCGAGAUGAGUUCUCCCUGACUCCUUGAGAGUCCUGAAGGAACGUUGAAGACGACGACGUUGAUAGGCCGGGUGUGUAAGCGCAGCGAUGCGUUGAGCUAACCGGUACUAAUGAACCGUGAGGCUUAACCUUACAACGCCGAAGGUGUUU